AUGGAGGACGAAAACUCUAUGAAAGAACACAUUUCAGGCUACUUUUAUAGCCUUUUCUCCUCCACGGCUAAGCAUAAUAAUACAUGCAUCCUAGAAGCAAUUACUCCAAGAGUACACGAAGGCAUAAAUGAUAUGUUGUGUGCCCAAUACACAAAGGAAGAAGUGAAGAAGGCACUUCUCGUCAUUGGGGAUCUCAAAGCACCUGGACCUGAUGGAAUGCCUGCUAUAUUUUUCAAAAAGUUUUGGCAUAUCAUGGGUGACCAAAUAACGAGGGAGGUGUUGAAUGUACUUAAUGGGGGAGAGAUGCCAGAGGAGUGGAAUAAUACGAUUGUGGUUCUUAUACCAAAAACACCAAGGCCGGAAAAAAUAAAUGACUAUAGGCCGAUCAGCCUUUGCAAUGUUCUCUACAAGAUGGUGUCCAAGGUAAUAACAAAUAAAUUAAAGUAUAUCUUACCAGACAUCAUAGGACCCAAUCAAAACGCAUUUGUACCAGGUCGUAUUAUCACUGAUAAUAUUUUAUUGGCCUAUGAACUAACACAUUUUUUACAAAGGAAAAGGAAUGGUGCAAAAGCCUAUGCAGCCAUAAAGCUGGACAUGAGCAAAGCAUAUGACAGGGUCGAAUGA
RNAcentral lists this ribosomal RNA (624 nucleotides) under Triticum aestivum (bread wheat). Its description in RNAcentral is "partial small subunit ribosomal RNA". The record is from RNAcentral. Lineage: Eukaryota; Viridiplantae; Streptophyta; Magnoliopsida; Poales; Poaceae.